This 467-nucleotide ribosomal RNA is filed under the name uncultured bacterium. RNAcentral describes it as "partial 16S ribosomal RNA". It matches the Rfam family "Bacterial small subunit ribosomal RNA", at positions 29 to 507 of the family's 1533-position model. The record is from RNAcentral.
ACGAACGCUGGCGGCGUGCUUAACACAUGCAGGUCGAACGGUGAUGCUCCAGCUUGCUGGAGUGGAUCAGUGGCGAACGGGUGAGUAACACGUGAGCAACCUGCCCCAGACUCUGGAAUAAGCGCUGGAAACGGCGUCUAAUACUGGAUACGAAACUGGCCCGCAUGGGCAUGGUUUGGAAAGUUUUUCGGUUUGGGAUGGGCUCGCGGCCUAUCAGCUUGUUGGUGAGGUAAUGGCUCACCAAGGCGACGACGGGUAGCCGGCCUGAGAGGGCGACCGGCCACACUGGGACUGAGACACGGCCCAGACUCCUACGGGAGGCAGCAGUGGGGAAUAUUGCACAAUGGGCGAAAGCCUGAUGCAGCGACGCCGCGUGAGGGAUGACGGCCUUCGGGUUGUAAACCUCUUUCAGCAGGGAAGAAGCGAAAGUGACGGUACCUGCAGAAGAAGCACCGGCUAACUACGUG